This 607-nucleotide ribosomal RNA is filed under the name uncultured bacterium. RNAcentral describes it as "bacterial SSU rRNA". It matches the Rfam family "Bacterial small subunit ribosomal RNA", at positions 331 to 929 of the family's 1533-position model. The record is from RNAcentral.
CCAGACUCCUACGGGAGGCAGCAGUGGGGAAUAUUGGACAAUGGGGGCAACCCUGAUCCAGCCAUGCCGCGUGUGUGAAGAAGGCCUUUUGGUUGUAAAGCACUUUAAGCAGGGAGGAGAGGCUAAUGGUUAAUACCCAUUAGAUUAGACGUUACCUGCAGAAUAAGCACCGGCUAACUCUGUGCCAGCAGCCGCGGUAAUACAGAGGGUGCGAGCGUUAAUCGGAAUUACUGGGCGUAAAGCGAGUGUAGGUGGCUCAUUAAGUCACAUGUGAAAUCCCCGGGCUUAACCUGGGAACUGCAUGUGAUACUGGUGGUGCUAGAAUAUGUGAGAGGGAAGUAGAAUUCCAGGUGUAGCGGUGAAAUGCGUAGAGAUCUGGAGGAAUACCGAUGGCGAAGGCAGCUUCCUGGCAUAAUAUUGACACUGAGAUUCGAAAGCGUGGGUAGCAAACAGGAUUAGAUACCCUGGUAGUCCACGCCGUAAACGAUGUCUACUAGCCGUUGGGGUCCUUGAGACUUUAGUGGCGCAGUUAACGCGAUAAGUAGACCGCCUGGGGAGUACGGCCGCAAGGUUAAAACUCAAAUGAAUUGACGGGGGCCCGCACAAG